AUACAUGCAAGUCGAGCGGACAGAUGGGAGCUUGCUCCUGAUGUUAGCGGCGGACGGGUGAGUAACACGUGGGUAACCUGCCUGUAAGACUGGGAUAACUCCGGGAAACCGGGGCUAAUACCGGAUGCUUGAUUGAACCGCAUGGUUCAAUUAUAAAAGGUGGCUUUUAGCUACCACUUACAGAUGGACCCGCGGCGCAUUAGCUAGUUGGUGAGGUAACGGCUCACCAAGGCAACGAUGCGUAGCCGACCUGAGAGGGUGAUCGGCCACACUGGGACUGAGACACGGCCCAGACUCCUACGGGAGGCAGCAGUAGGGAAUCUUCCGCAAUGGACGAAAGUCUGACGGAGCAACGCCGCGUGAGUGAUGAAGGUUUUCGGAUCGUAAAACUCUGUUGUUAGGGAAGAACAAGUACCGUUCGAAUAGGGCGGUACCUUGACGGUACCUAACCAGAAAGCCACGGCUAACUACGUGCCAGCAGCCGCGGUAAUACGUAGGUGGCAAGCGUUGUCCGGAAUUAUUGGGCGUAAAGCGCGCGCAGGCGGUUUCUUAAGUCUGAUGUGAAAGCCCCCGGCUCAACCGGGGAGGGUCAUUGGAAACUGGGGAACUUGAGUGCAGAAGAGGAGAGUGGAAUUCCACGUGUAGCGGUGAAAUGCGUAGAGAUGUGGAGGAACACCAGUGGCGAAGGCGACUCUCUGGUCUGUAACUGACGCUGA
This 716-nucleotide ribosomal RNA is filed under the name Bacillus sp. psm2. RNAcentral's name for it is "bacterial SSU rRNA". It matches the Rfam family "Bacterial small subunit ribosomal RNA", at positions 51 to 749 of the family's 1533-position model. Lineage: Bacteria; Bacillati; Bacillota; Bacilli; Caryophanales; Bacillaceae. The record is from RNAcentral.